CCUACGGGAGGCUGCAGUGAGGAAUAUUGGUCAAUGGGCGAGAGCCUGAACCAGCCAAGUCGCGUGAGGGAGUACUGCCCUAUGGGUUGUAAACCUCUUUUGUCGGGGAGCAAAAGCCGGACGUGUCCGGCUGUGAGAUUACCCGAAGAAAAAGCAUCGGCUAACCCCGUGCCAGCAGCCGCGGUAAUAGGGGGGAUGCGAGCGGUAUCCGGAUUUAUGGGGUUUAAAGGGUGCGAAGGCGGAUUUUUAAGUCAGCGGUCAAAUCGUGGGGCUCAACCCCAUCCAGCCGUUGAAACUGGGGAUCUAGAGUGUGCGAGAGGUAUGCGGAAUGCGUGGUGUAGCGGUGAAAUGCAUAGAUAUCACGCAGAACCCCGAUUGCGAAGGCAGCUUACCGGUGCACAACUGACGCUCAGGCACGAAAGCGUGGGUAUCGAACAGGAUUAGAUACCCCUGUAGUC
This 458-nucleotide ribosomal RNA is filed under the name uncultured bacterium. RNAcentral's name for it is "partial 16S ribosomal RNA". It matches the Rfam family "Bacterial small subunit ribosomal RNA", at positions 338 to 795 of the family's 1533-position model. The record is from RNAcentral.